This 68-nucleotide transfer RNA is filed under the name Marmota monax (woodchuck). RNAcentral describes it as "tRNA.Ala". Lineage: Eukaryota; Metazoa; Chordata; Mammalia; Rodentia; Sciuridae. The record is from RNAcentral.
GGAUUGUGGUUCAGUGGAAGAGCACUUGCCUAGCAUGUGGGAGGCAUUGGGUUCGAUCCUCAGCACCA